This 492-nucleotide ribosomal RNA is filed under the name uncultured bacterium. Its description in RNAcentral is "partial 16S ribosomal RNA". It matches the Rfam family "Bacterial small subunit ribosomal RNA", at positions 29 to 507 of the family's 1533-position model. The record is from RNAcentral.
AGUGAACGCUGGCGGUAGGCCUAACACAUGCCAGUCGAACGGCAGCACAGUAAGAUCUUGCUCUUACGGGUGGCGAGUGGCGGACGGGUGAGGAAUACAUCGGAAUCUACUUUUUCGUGGGGGAUAACGUAGGGAAACUUACGCUAAUACCGCAUACGACCUACGGGUGAAAGCAGGGGAUCUUCGGACCUUGCGCGAUUGAAUGAGCCGAUGUCGGAUUAGCUAGUUGGCGGGGUAAAGGCCCACCAAGGCGACGAUCCGUAGCUGGUCUGAGAGGAUGAUCAGCCACACUGGAACGGAGACACGGUCCAGACUCCUACGGGAGGCAGCAGUGGGGAAUAUUGGACAAUGGGCGCAAGCCUGAUCCAGCCAUACCGCGUGGGUGAAGAAGGCCUUCGGGUUGUAAAGCCCUUUUGUUGGGAAAGAAAAGCAGCAGGUUAAUACCCCGCUGUUCUGACGGUACCCAAAGAAUAAGCACCGGCUAACUUCGUG